UACGGGGGAUGCGAGCGUUAUCCGGAUUUAUUGGGUCUAAAGGGUGCGUAGGCGGCGCUUCAGGUCAGCGGUGAAAUACCGGGGCUCAACCCCGGGGCUGCCGUUGAAACUGGAAGACUUGAGUGUGUUUGAGGUAGGCGGAAUGCGUGGUGUAGCGGUGAAAUGCAUAGAUAUCACGCAGAACUCCGAUUGCGAAGGCAGCUCACUGGACUGCAACUGACACUGAGGCUCGAAAGUGUGGGUAUCAAACAGG
This 253-nucleotide ribosomal RNA is filed under the name uncultured bacterium. RNAcentral describes it as "partial 16S ribosomal RNA". It matches the Rfam family "Bacterial small subunit ribosomal RNA", at positions 524 to 776 of the family's 1533-position model. The record is from RNAcentral.